ACCCGCUGAACUUAAGCAUAUCAAUAAGCGGAGGAAAAGAAACCAACAGGGAUUGCCCUAGUAACGGCGAGUGAAGCGGCAACAGCUCAAAUUUGAAAUCUGGCUCUCUUAGAGUCCGAGUUGUAAUUUGCAGAGGGCGCUUUGGCUUUGGCAGCGGUCCAAGUUCCUUGGAACAGGACGUCACAGAGGGUGAGAAUCCCGUACGUGGUCGCUGGCUAUUGCCGUGUAAAGCCCCUUCGACGAGUCGAGUUGUUUGGGAAUGCAGCUCUAAAUGGGAGGUACAUUUCUUCUAAAGCUAAAUAUUGGCCAGAGACCGAUAGCGCACAAGUAGAGUGAUCGAAAGAUGAAAAGCACUUUGGAAAGAGAGUCAAACAGCACGUGAAAUUGUUGAAAGGGAAGCGCUUGCAGCCAGACUUGCUUACAGUUGCUCAUCCGGGCUUUUGCCCGGUGCACUCUUCUGUAGGCAGGCCAGCAUCAGUUUGGGCGGUAGGAUAAAGGUCUCUGUCACGUACCUCUCUUCGGGGAGGCCUUAUAGGGGAGACGACAUACUACCAGCCUGGACUGAGGUCCGCGCAUCUGCUAGGAUGCUGGCGUAAUGGCUGU
This 603-nucleotide ribosomal RNA is filed under the name uncultured fungus. RNAcentral describes it as "eukaryotic LSU rRNA". It matches the Rfam family "Eukaryotic large subunit ribosomal RNA", at positions 23 to 641 of the family's 3401-position model. The record is from RNAcentral. Lineage: Eukaryota; Fungi.